RNAcentral lists this transfer RNA (82 nucleotides) under Zancudomyces culisetae. It matches the Rfam family "tRNA". From Rfam's summary of the family: Transfer RNA (tRNA) molecules are approximately 80 nucleotides in length. The record is from Rfam by way of RNAcentral. Lineage: Eukaryota; Fungi; Kickxellomycota; Harpellomycetes; Harpellales; Legeriomycetaceae.
GGUGACUUGCCCGAGUGGUCCAAGGGGUCAGGUUUAGGCCCUGAUAUGUUCGCAUGCGUGGGUUCGAACCCCACAGUCAUCA